This 107-nucleotide ribosomal RNA is filed under the name Sorex araneus (European shrew). Lineage: Eukaryota; Metazoa; Chordata; Mammalia; Eulipotyphla; Soricidae. The record is from RNAcentral.
GUCUGUGGCCAUACAACCCUGAACACACCGAUCUCAUCUGAUCUCGGAAGCUAAGCAGGGUUGGGCAUGCUUAGUUGUUGGAAGGGAGGAAGAUUGGUCUAUGGUCG